CAAAAAAAAAAAAAAUCUGAUCUCUCUCUCUCCCCCCGGCGAAGUACUCAUUCUCUCCACCAUCACAUCGGCAACUGGAAUUGAAUCUCCUACGUACGAUGCCGUUUCGCGACUGGAUCUCUGACGCACGAAUUGGAUCUCCGAUGCAUGACGCCGACUGGAACCAAAACUCUGAUUCUCUCUUCUUCAUCUCAACGCCACCGGCCAUGUCUCCGUCUCAGGCUCCCUCGAUGACUCCCUCAGAUUCCUCCAUCUCAGAAAGUUGAAGAAGCUCGUGUUUUAGUUCAGCAAUGGUCGCUGCCAUUGAUUAGAUCUCCAAGCUCAAAUCUGAGGUAGCCACUCUCAGCCAAAUCAAGUAUCUCUAUCUCCGCCUCCGAUCCUUUCAAAUUUUUCGUUUCGUUUCCGAUUGCCAUUUGAACUGAGCUUCAUUUGUUUUUAUGGUGUAACGAGAAUGAGAAGAAUAGAUUCAUCAACCUCUUCUCUCACUAUCUCAGGUGGGAGUCCACUUUCUGCUCUUUGGAGGAGUGUGAUGGUUGCACCUUCAACUAUUGGUGACUUGCAAAUGAUAGUGAAAGUGUGUUAUCCAAGUUUAGAGUCUCUCUCUGUCAAGCUCGCAGGUUUGCUCUAUAACAUGUUGGGAAUUGUUUCGUAUUACAUGAAUUUUACAAACUGUUGACUAGUGUCUUGUUCUAGAAAUACUUAGAAGUGUGAUCAACUCUGUCAUAUUACACCAAGUUGGUGGAUUUCAAGCUUUAGUUUGCUUUGUUUUGAUUUCUCGGGCUCUAUAUGUGCAAAAUUACUUAUACUUGAUUUCGGGCUAGUUUGGGAUUGCUGUGACUUUUAAAAAAAACUGCUGUUGCUGUGUUGUGAGAAUAAUCCGCUGUGAAUUAAAACAGUUUCAUGUUUGGUAAAUAAUAUUUUUAAAAGUGCUGUCACUACAUAAAACAACUGCAGAGUGUGUUUUGAUCCACAGCAGCUUCUAAAAGCAACCUCUGGGCUGCUUCUAAAAUCUGCUGCCAGUGACCUAUAACUUUCAAUUAAAGCUGCUUUUUAUUUAUUUACCAAACACAAUAAAAUCAAAAAUUUUGAACAAAAGCUGAUUUUUUUAAAAGCGAAGCAAUCCCAAACGGGGCCUUCAUAUGUAUCAAGAUUGAUUCAGGCUAUUGGUAGCUGUCUAAAACUGUUAUAGUAAUUUUUGAACACAGCGAUAGUAGCUUUCUAUCCCUAUAUUAGUAUAUUUUUAAUCUGAUGUCAGUAGCUUUUUUGUUUUCAUUUUGAUUGGUUUCGAGUGGUUCAAUAGCUUACUAAAUUGGAAAAGCAUGGUUCUGAAUGAAAUUCAAUUUCUAUCUUGUUGAUAUUUUGUAUCAUUAGCAUUUCUUGUUUGGAAUUUGUGUUACACUAUCAACAUGUAUAAUAAGCUGGUUUUGUGUAAUCAGUAUUUAUGUCAGUAGCUUUCUAUUACGGGUCCAAUAGCUUUUGACAUGUGUUAUAGUAGCUUUAUAUACCUAUGUCAAUAGAUUUUUUUACUGGUCCAGUAGCUUUGUACAUGUUUUACAGUUGCUUUCUACACCUGUGUCAAUAGCUUUUUAUUACUGGUCCAGUAACUUUGUACGUGUGUUAUAGUAGCUUUCUGUAUGAAAUUAGCUUUUUAGAUUGCAUAUUUUUUAUUGCUGUUUUUAGUUUUCAUUUCAAAUACUAAUAUUUUGUUGUAUCAUUGUUAUUGCAAAAUUCUUCCCCUUUGCAUGUGUAGUAGUAGAUUUUGAAAAUCAUGUGAAUUUGGAUAUUGAAGCCUCCAUUGACCAAGAGAUUAUUCGGCCAACCAAGAAAUAUUGAAAUGAAGUCUCGUGCGGAAGGUGGCAAAAUAAUGCCUAUGGGUUUAGAGCGUCACCAUUGAAAAAUGACAGUAGCAUUACAACAUUGACAGUAGCUUUAUACAACUAUUGUAAUAGAUUUUCAUAACUAUGGUAAUGGCUUUUGACAACUAUGGAAGUUGCUUUUUACAUAGUUAUAUCAUUAUUGAACCCUGCAUACUUUUUAUACCAUUGAAUAUGUUUCUUUUUCUCUAUGGUAGUAGCAUUUUUAUUUUGGUUGUAUCCUUUACAUUUCCACAACUUUGUUAGUCUCUAAGAAUAGCUUUCUCAAUCUCUAGGAGUAGUUUUUGUUCUACUUUGUUAUAGCUUUCUCAAUCUCUAUGAGUAGUUUUUGUUCUACUUGGUUAUAGCUUUUGGCAUUGAUGAGAGUAGCUUUUGAUGAUGGUGUGAGUAGCUUUUGUUACUAGUGAGAGUAGUUUUUUGGUGUUGAUGACAGUAGUUUUUAUUGUUGAUGACAGUAACUUUUGGUGUUUGUAACAGUAACUUUUGGUGUUUGUAACAGUAGCUUUUGUUGGUGAGUAGCUUUUGUUACUAGUGAGAGUAGUUUUUUGGUGUUGAUGACAGUAGUUUUUAUUGUUGAUGACAGUAACUUUUGGUGUUUGUAACAGUAACUUUUGGUGUUUGUAACAGUAGCUUUUGUUGGUGGGGAUAGUAGCUUUUGGUUUUGAGGAGUGUAGCUUUUGUUGGUGACAGUAGCUUUUUCUGACCUCGCCAGAGUAGCUUUUGUGACCUCGCCGGAGGUUGCCGGAAAUUUUAUCAGAGUAGCUUUUAUUGCUAGUGACAGUAGCUUUUGUGGUCGCCGGAGUUCGCCAGAAGUUAAUCGGAGGUCCACCAGAAGUUGGCUGGAGGUCGGGCGACGGCUGGAGACCCUUCAAAGUUGGCCCGAGGUCGACCGGAGACCCGCCGGAGUUGGUCGGAAACCUCGUCGGAGAUGAUAGAGAGAAUGAUUGUUGACUUUUUACUCUAGUGGCAUUUAUGUAGAUAUGUUUAUUUUUUAUAUCCAAAAUUUAACACCUUUUUAAUCUAGUGGCCUUAUGACGGAAAAAAAUAGUUGGUGACCUUAUGGCUAAAAAAACAUUCAAAAAUGCACUUAU
Rosa rugosa (rugosa rose) is the source of this 2965-nucleotide long non-coding RNA. RefSeq lists it as uncharacterized. The transcript is spliced from 4 exons. The record is from RefSeq and is a predicted model, not a curated record. NCBI's taxonomy places the organism in Eukaryota, Viridiplantae, Streptophyta, Magnoliopsida, Rosales, Rosaceae.